This 327-nucleotide long non-coding RNA is filed under the name Elaeis guineensis (African oil palm). RNAcentral describes it as "long non-coding RNA (EGUI_LNC017931)". The record is from RNAcentral. Lineage: Eukaryota; Viridiplantae; Streptophyta; Magnoliopsida; Arecales; Arecaceae.
GCUAGCUCAAUGUUAGUUUCAUACAGAAUCACUAAAUGUAUCACGAAAAUGGUCGUAAACAGAUUUUGUUAAUUGCAAACAGUCUCAAUGUAUCAAAAAACGAUUAAAAGAUAGAAUCUAAUAAUGAGUAGAGGAUUUUCCUUCGAAGAAAUCAGUCCAUUUAUUCCAUUCUACAAAUGCCACUCCAUACUUUCCAUAGUUGGGAGUGCUUAUGCUAAGUGAAAAUGGAGGAGAACCACUGACAACUGUGGAGGAAUCUUGACUCAUUAUUGCCAGCUAUGUAACUCUCCUUUUUGUUCUACUUCUCCUUUCUCUUCAUUUUUGUAA